RNAcentral lists this ribosomal RNA (253 nucleotides) under uncultured bacterium. RNAcentral describes it as "partial 16S ribosomal RNA". It matches the Rfam family "Bacterial small subunit ribosomal RNA", at positions 524 to 776 of the family's 1533-position model. The record is from RNAcentral.
UACGUAGGGGGCAAGCGUUGUCCGGAAUUAUUGGGCGUAAAGAGCUCGUAGGCGGUUUGUCGCGUCUGCUGUGAAAAUCCAGGGCUUAACCCUGGACCUGCAGUGGGUACGGGCAGACUAGAGUGCGGUAGGGGAGAUCGGAAUUCCUGGUGUAGCGGUGAAAUGCGCAGAUAUCAGGAGGAACACCGGUGGCGAAGGCGGAUCUCUGGGCCGUAACUGACGCUGAGGAGCGAAAGCAUGGGGAGCGAACAGG